RNAcentral lists this ribosomal RNA (468 nucleotides) under uncultured bacterium. RNAcentral describes it as "partial 16S ribosomal RNA". It matches the Rfam family "Bacterial small subunit ribosomal RNA", at positions 28 to 507 of the family's 1533-position model. The record is from RNAcentral.
GACGAACGCUGGCGGCGUGCUUAACACAUGCAAGUCGAACGGAAAGGCCCUGCUUUUGUGGGGUGCUCGAGUGGCGAACGAGUGAGUAACACGUGAGUAACCUGCCCUUGACUUUGGGAUAACUUCAGGAAACUGGGGCUAAUACCGGAUAGGAGCUCCUGCUGCAUGGUGGGGGUUGGAAAGUUUCGGCGGUUGGGGAUGGACUCGCGGCUUAUCAGCUUGUUGGUGGGGUAGUGGCUUACCAAGGCUUUGACGGGUAGCCGGCCUGAGAGGGUGACCGGCCACAUUGGGACUGAGAUACGGCCCAGACUCCUACGGGAGGCAGCAGUGGGGAAUAUUGCACAAUGGGCGGAAGCCUGAUGCUGCAACGCCGCGUGCGGGAUGACGGCCUUCGGGUUGUAAACCGCUUUCGCCUGUGACGAAGCGUGAGUGACGGUAAUGGGUAAAGAAGCACCGGCUAACUACGUG